Molecule: ribosomal RNA, 468 nt
Filed under: uncultured bacterium
Lineage: Bacteria
Description: partial 16S ribosomal RNA
Rfam family: Bacterial small subunit ribosomal RNA
Source: RNAcentral
GACGAACGCUGGCGGCGUGCUUAACACAUGCAAGUCGAACGGGAAGGCCCUGCUUUUGUGGGGUGCUUGAGUGGCGAACGGGUGAGUAACACGUGAGUAACCUGCCCUUGACUUUGGGAUAACUUCAGGAAACUGGGGCUAAUACCGGAUAGGAGCUCCUGCUGCAUGGUGGGGGUUGGAAAGUUUCGGCGGUUGGGGAUGGACUCGCGGCGUAUCAGCUUGUUGGUGGGGUAGUGGCUUACCAAGGCAUUGACGGGUAGCCGGCCUGAGAGGGCGACCGGGCAAAUUGGGACUGGGAUACGGCCCAGAUUCAAACGGUGGGCAGCAGGGGGGAAUAUUGCACAAUGGGCGGAAGCCUGAGGCAGCACCGCCGCGUGCGGGAUGACUGCCUUCGGGUUGAAAACCGCUUUCGCCUGAGACAAAGCGUGAGUGACGGUAAUGGGUAAAGAGGCACCGGCUGACUACAUG